GUCAACGGCCAUCCCUGAAAAUUCCAAGGUUGCAAUAGUGUCUCCAUCAGAUAGUGUCUAUUUCGCGACAAAAAAGAUGCAAGAGUUGCAAGUUAGUUCAGUGAUUAUUGCAAUUGGAAACAAACCUCAGGGGAUACUUACUUCGAAAGAUGUGCUUAUGUGAGUUGUGGCUCAAAAUCUUUCCCCCGAGCUGACUCUUGUUGAAAAGGUAAUGACACCCCACCCAGAAUGUGCAAAAUUGGAGACAACAAUCCUUGAAGCAUUGUAUAUAAUGCAUGAAGGGAAUUUUUUACAUCUUCCUGUUGUAGAUAAAG
Telopea speciosissima is the source of this 314-nucleotide long non-coding RNA. RefSeq lists it as uncharacterized. NCBI's taxonomy places the organism in Eukaryota, Viridiplantae, Streptophyta, Magnoliopsida, Proteales, Proteaceae. The transcript is spliced from 4 exons. The record is from RefSeq and is a predicted model, not a curated record.